UAGGGAAUCUUCGGCAAUGGACGGAAGUCUGACCGAGCAACGCCGCGUGAGUGAAGAAGGUUUUCGGAUCGUAAAGCUCUAUUGUAAGAGAAGAACGAGUGUGAGAGUGGAAAGUUCACACUGUGACGGUAUCUUACCAGAAAGGGACGGCUAACUACGUGCCAGCAGCCGCGGUAAUACGUAGGUCCCGAGCGUUGUCCGGAUUUAUUGGGCGUAAAGCGAGCGCAGGCGGUUAGAUAAGUCUGAAGUUAAAGGCUGUGGCUUAACCAUAGUAGGCUUUGGAAACUGUUUAACUUGAGUGCAAGAGGGGAGAGUGGAAUUCCAUGUGUAGCGGUGAAAUGCGUAGAUAUAUGGAGGAACACCGGUGGCGAAAGCGGCUCUCUGGCUUGUAACUGACGCUGAGGCUCGAAAGCGUGGGGAGCAAACAGGAUUAGAUACCCUGGUAGUCCACGCUGUAAACGAUGAGUGCUAGGUGUUAGACCCUUUCCGGGGUUUAGUGCCGUAGCUAACGCAUUAAGCACUCCGCCUGGGGAGUACGACCGCAAGGUUG
This 550-nucleotide ribosomal RNA is filed under the name uncultured bacterium. Its description in RNAcentral is "bacterial SSU rRNA". It matches the Rfam family "Bacterial small subunit ribosomal RNA", at positions 355 to 896 of the family's 1533-position model. The record is from RNAcentral.